GACGAACGCUGGCGGCGUGCUUAACACAUGCAAGUCGAGCGGUAAGGCCCUUUCGGGGGUACACGAGCGGCGAACGGGUGAGUAACACGUGGGUGACCUGCCCGUCAGCUCUGGGAUAAGCCUGGGAAACUGGGUCUAAUACUGGAUAUGACUCCACGGUGCAUGUCGUGGGGUGGAAAGCCUUGUGCGGCUUGAGGAUGGGCCCGCGGCCUAUCAGCUUGUUGGUGGGGUGAUGGCCUACCAAGGCGACGACGGGUAGCCGGCCUGAGA
This 270-nucleotide ribosomal RNA is filed under the name uncultured bacterium. Its description in RNAcentral is "partial 16S ribosomal RNA". It matches the Rfam family "Bacterial small subunit ribosomal RNA", at positions 28 to 297 of the family's 1533-position model. The record is from RNAcentral.